Molecule: ribosomal RNA, 514 nt
Filed under: Colletotrichum gloeosporioides
Lineage: Eukaryota; Fungi; Ascomycota; Sordariomycetes; Glomerellales; Glomerellaceae
Description: eukaryotic LSU rRNA
Rfam family: 5.8S ribosomal RNA (bases 204-357)
Source: RNAcentral
UCCGUAGGGUGAACCUGCGGAGGGAUCAUUACUGAGUUUACGCUCUAUAACCCUUUGUGAACAUACCUAUAACUGUUGCUUCGGCGGGUAGGGUCUCCGUGACCCUCCCGGCCUCCCGCCCCCGGGCGGGUCGGCGCCCGCCGGAGGAUAACCAAACUCUGAUUUAACGACGUUUCUUCUGAGUGGUACAAGCAAAUAAUCAAAACUUUUAACAACGGAUCUCUUGGUUCUGGCAUCGAUGAAGAACGCAGCGAAAUGCGAUAAGUAAUGUGAAUUGCAGAAUUCAGUGAAUCAUCGAAUCUUUGAACGCACAUUGCGCCCGCCAGCAUUCUGGCGGGCAUGCCUGUUCGAGCGUCAUUUCAACCCUCAAGCUCUGCUUGGUGUUGGGGCCCUACAGCUGAUGUAGGCCCUCAAAGGUAGUGGCGGACCCUCCCGGAGCCUCCUUUGCGUAGUAACUUUACGUCUCGCACUGGGAUCCGGAGGGACUCUUGCCGUAAAACCCCCUAUUCCAAAG